Molecule: ribosomal RNA, 556 nt
Filed under: uncultured fungus
Lineage: Eukaryota; Fungi
Description: eukaryotic LSU rRNA
Rfam family: Eukaryotic large subunit ribosomal RNA
Source: RNAcentral
AAACCAACAGGGAUUGCCCUAGUAACGGCGAGUGAAGCGGCAACAGCUCAAAUUUGAAAUCGGCCCACCGGUCGAGUUGUAAUUUGCAGAGGAUGCUUCUGGGCAGCGGCCGGUCUAAGUUCCUUGGAACAGGACGUCAUAGAGGGUGAGAAUCCCGUAUGUGACUGGCGCGCACCCUCCACGUAGCUCCUUCGACGAGUCGAGUUGUUUGGGAAUGCAGCUCUAAAUGGGAGGUAAAUUUCUUCUAAAGCUAAAUACCGGCCAGAGACCGAUAGCGCACAAGUAGAGUGAUCGAAAGAUGAAAAGCACUUUGGAAAGAGAGUUAAACAGCACGUGAAAUUGUUGAAAGGGAAGCGCUUGCCACCAGACUUGUCGGCGGUGUUCCGCCGGUCUUUUGACCGGUCUACUCGCCGCCGACAGGCCAACAUCGUCUGGGGCCGCCGGAUAAGACCUUAGGAAUGUAGCUCCUCGGAGUGUUAUAGCCUCUGGUGAUGCGGCGCGCCCCGGGCGAGGUCCGCGCUUCGGCAAGGAUGUUGGCGUAAUGGUGGUCAGCGGC